CCUACGGGAGGCAGCAGCAAGGAAUUUUCCGCAAUGGGCGCAAGCCUGACGGAGCGACGCCGCGUGGAGGAUGACGCCCUUCGGGGUGUAAACUCCUUUUCGGGGGGACGAAGGCAGUGACGGUACCCCCGGAAGAAGCACCGGCUAACUACGUGCCAGCAGCCGCGGUAAU
RNAcentral lists this ribosomal RNA (172 nucleotides) under uncultured Sphaerobacter sp. RNAcentral describes it as "partial 16S ribosomal RNA". It matches the Rfam family "Bacterial small subunit ribosomal RNA", at positions 338 to 524 of the family's 1533-position model. The record is from RNAcentral. Lineage: Bacteria; Pseudomonadati; Thermomicrobiota; Thermomicrobia; Sphaerobacterales; Sphaerobacteraceae.